AGUGAACGCUGGCGGUAGGCUUAACACAUGCAAGUCGAACGGCAGAACAGUAAGAGCUUGCUCUUACGGGUGGCGAGUGGCGGACGGGUGAGGAGUACAUCGGAAUCUACUUUUUCGUGGUGGAUAACGUAGGGAAACUUACGCUAAUACCGCAUACGCCCUACGGGUGAAAGCAGGGGAUCUUCGUACCUUGCGCGAUUGAUUGAGCCGAGGUCGGAUGAGCUAGUUGGCGGGGUAAUGGCCCACCAAGGCGACGAGCCGUAGCUGGUCUGAGAGAGUGGUAAGCGACACUGCAAGAGAGACAGGGUCCACACUCCGACGGUGAGAAGCAGUGGGGAAUAUUGGGCGAUGGGGGCAAGCAUGAUCCAGCAAUACGGGGUGGGCGAAGAAGGCAUUCGGGUUGUAAAGCCCAUUUGUAGCGAGAGAAGAACAGCAGGUUAAGACGACGAGGUACUGACGGUACCCGAAGAAUAAGCACCGGCUAACUUCGUG
RNAcentral lists this ribosomal RNA (492 nucleotides) under uncultured bacterium. Its description in RNAcentral is "partial 16S ribosomal RNA". It matches the Rfam family "Bacterial small subunit ribosomal RNA", at positions 29 to 507 of the family's 1533-position model. The record is from RNAcentral.